Molecule: ribosomal RNA, 465 nt
Filed under: uncultured Klebsiella sp.
Lineage: Bacteria; Pseudomonadati; Pseudomonadota; Gammaproteobacteria; Enterobacterales; Enterobacteriaceae
Description: bacterial SSU rRNA
Rfam family: Bacterial small subunit ribosomal RNA
Source: RNAcentral
CCUACGGGCGGCUGCAGUGGGGAAUAUUGCACAAUGGGCGCAAGCCUGAUGCAGCCAUGCCGCGUGUGUGAAGAAGGCCUUCGGGUUGUAAAGCACUUUCAGCGGGGAGGAAGGCGUUAAGGUUAAUAACCUUGGCGAUUGACGUUACCCGCAGAAGAAGCACCGGCUAACUCCGUGCCAGCAGCCGCGGUAAUACGGAGGGUGCAAGCGUUAAUCGGAAUUACUGGGCGUAAAGCGCACGCAGGCGGUCUGUCAAGUCGGAUGUGAAAUCCCCGGGCUCAACCUGGGAACUGCAUUCGAAACUGGCAGGCUAGAGUCUUGUAGAGGGGGGUAGAAUUCCAGGUGUAGCGGUGAAAUGCGUAGAGAUCUGGAGGAAUACCGGUGGCGAAGGCGGCCCCCCGGACAAAGACUGACGCUCAGGUGCGAAAGCGUGGGGAACAAACAGGAUUAGAUACCCGUGCAGUC